UAUGACCAUACCCUUUUAACACAUAUAGUUCUGUCCUGCCUUUCAUUUUGUCCACAAUUCUGAUCAGGUUCAAUUCAAGAGUUGGAGAAUGCAACCUCACAUAUUCAAGGUUCUCUCAACCAAGUAACCUUUUUGAGCAUAUAAAGGUAUAAAUAGAAGGCUUGCUUUACCAGAACAAGAAGGGAGCUUCAGCUGUUCUCUGGAGUUCCCCAGAACACUUCAUUGGGUUCUUCUAAGACUCUUAUGCAUGUAAGGGUAACCUACUUAAUUACUCCACUGAAGUGUUUGGGGGAACUCUGGAUAGCAGCUGACAUUAAUUGAUGAAUGAUUAGUUGCAACACUGGAUUCAUAGGUGUAUAUAAGCAUGUAUGUAUGUUGAGAGUUAUUUGCAUUUUCAUAAGCAUGUAUGAGUGUUGAGAGUCAUUUGCAUUUUUGUUUUCAAUUUUUUCUCCCAAUAUAAACAUACAUUACAUUCCUAAAAUUUCUUGCCAAGUGGCAAUACAGCUUUGAAAAAAAAAAAAAAAAAAAAAAAAAAA
This 536-nucleotide microRNA precursor is filed under the name Dimocarpus longan. RNAcentral's name for it is "precursor microRNA MIR395". The stretch from base 193 to 307 matches the Rfam family "mir-395 microRNA precursor family". The record is from RNAcentral. Lineage: Eukaryota; Viridiplantae; Streptophyta; Magnoliopsida; Sapindales; Sapindaceae.